This is an unclassified non-coding RNA of Mesocricetus auratus (golden hamster), 240 nucleotides long. Its record names the gene 7SK. It matches the Rfam family "7SK RNA". Rfam says of the family: 7SK was discovered as an abundant small nuclear RNA in the mid-70s but a possible function has only recently been suggested. Two independent studies have found that 7SK RNA binds the CDK9/cyclin T complex (known as elongation factor P-TEFb). NCBI's taxonomy places the organism in Eukaryota, Metazoa, Chordata, Mammalia, Rodentia, Cricetidae. The record is from Ensembl.
GGAUAUGAGGGCGAUCUGGCUAGACAGUGUCUCCUUCUUCCCUUACUCUUCCAUGCAUGUCCCUCCUGAAGCUGCCCACUCACUGUUUUGAAGACAAGAGAAGGACUGGACAAGUACCUGUGCUCUGCUGUUAGAACCUCCAAACAAGCUCUCAAGAAGAAAAUUAGAUAGGAGCAUAUUGCUAUAUCAAUCUGUUGUUCAUCGUUCUAAAUAACAGGCACAAUCAAACUUAUUUUCUUU